Centruroides sculpturatus (bark scorpion) is the source of this 2852-nucleotide long non-coding RNA. RefSeq lists it as uncharacterized. The transcript has 4 exons. NCBI's taxonomy places the organism in Eukaryota, Metazoa, Arthropoda, Arachnida, Scorpiones, Buthidae. The record is from RefSeq and is a predicted model, not a curated record.
GAAACCUUCGUCUUAACUAAACAUAAGCCCCAAACAAAAUAUAAUGAAAGCAAAAUAAAAGUAAAAUAAAAAUAAAGCUCAGACUUGGUUCCUUACAACCCAUUAGAUGAAUGGGCAGUUUUCAAUACUCCCCUUUGUAAUAAAGGUGAUCAGCCAAAUCAGUAUAUGUUUUACACUUGUAAUUAACUACAACAAUUGUUUAUUACUUAGUCUUACCAGAAUGACUGACUGAUUUGAGUUCAGCAAAGUACUAAAUUACUCCCCUACUAAUAUCCUACUAAAUAAUAAAAAAAUGGAAAACUUUAUUAAAAUCAAUGGAAACACAGAAAGCAAAAUAAUGAACAAGCAUAUCAUGAGAUGUUGCACUGAAACAAAAAUAAACUCAUUUUCAUAUGAAUUGGCAAAUCAUGCACAUGGCCAUUAGAGCAAAUUUCGGUGUUAACGCCACAUGAAUCAAAUGGUAUUUCUUAGCUCAAAAGAGUAGAAAAAUAUGUUCAUUAAUAACACAUUCAGUGACACUUACCAACUCAAUUGCUAUCAUUAAGGUGACCAACUUUUUACAAUGAAAAGGAGGACACAAAUAAAUUGAAGGAAAAAAUACUGUAAAUAAAAGAAGCAUUGUAUUCAUUGCAACAAUAAUACAGUAUGAUAAUUUCUAUAUAAUAUUUCCUAUUCAUCUUUCACAAGUAUUUCUUCAAUGACUUUGAAACUGUUUAAUAUUAACUCUCUCUUUUUAUACUAAAAUUCUUAUUGUCAACUUUGAAGAUGACCUAUUUUCUAUUUUAUAAUCAAGUCUGAAUUAAACAAUAUAAGCUUUUGCACUUGCUCAGUUUGUCAUUCUUUUGAAAUUAUUUAUUGUAACAAGAACAAUUAAGCAACAUGUCUGCUGAAGAAUGCUAAGGAAAGAAGACACAAAUGAAAAUAAUUAUAUAGAAAAUGAAUUUAAAAAACCGAAUCAUAACUUGGAUUUCUGUUUAGAUAAAAACAAACAGAUGAAAAAUUCAUGCAUAUAAAGUCACUGAUAAAUUAUGGAGGGAUGGAGUUUCAAAGUAAUAUAAUUAAGGAUUGUUUCUGGAACAUCGUCUCCAUUUUCCUCAGAUGACUACAUUUGACAGAUAAUGGUCGAAAUGCUUUCCUCAACUGAUGUUUAUUUGGGUAUUUGAAGACAUCACUGGUUCUGUCUGUGUAUUUAAUUUAAUUCAUGCUCAGAAGAUUAACUUUUGAUUAGAAAUGCUACAGUUUAUCAGCUAAAUUAUUUUGCAUGAUGUAUUUAAUUAAAAUAUGUUAAAUGUUAAAUUUUUUAUUUGUGUAUAAAUAAAUAUUUUCUUAAAAAAAAAAGAUAGAAAUUAAAAAUUUGAAUUUUACAUGUUACAUGGUGCCACUUUUAUGUUUUAAAUUGACUGUUCAGUUACAUUGAAGUCAGCCUUGAAGUAGAGAAUUGGUAUAGUUUUAUUGUAACUAUUCAAUGAAUUGAAAGUUGUUUUGGGAUGAGCAAACACUUUAAGGAAGAAAUUCAGUGUUGUUUGAGUGUUUCUUCUUAUGAGUGGUAUCCUUUUUUGUGCCGUCAUCUUCACUUGGGUACAUACCUGAUUAGAAGGGAAGAAAGAAGAGAAAACAACAGUGAAUAUGUUUAAUGUGCCACACUUUGUUCACUACCAGUGAUAUGCUUCAGUUCUCCUUUGUUUAUAGAGAAAAGUUAACAGAUGUUUUACGUUUUCUUUCUAUUGGUUAGCCAACAAUCCUUUCUGUUUUGACACGGAGACCAAUGGUUAGCAAUAAAACAUACUUAUCUUCCAUGACUGCUAAUUUCUCAUUUAUAUAUUUUAUGUUCAUGAUAUCCAAGUAGAUAUUUCCAGGACAUCUUUCCAUACUUCAAUCUUGUCUAAAAUUCAUGAUAAGAUCCUGUUACUUAAUUUUUUAAAAAAGGGUAUAAUAUUCUCAUAUUCAAAAAGGGUCUUUUCAUCAUCUCUCUGACUGUCUUUUUGAUUUCAACAAUUAGUCUGGAUGUCCAAUGUUUUUAAACCUGACAUAAUAAUUUAUAGUGUUGAUCGAAGAAGAAAAUCUUAUUGGUGAUUAUACUGGGAAGAAAAAAUAGAAGUGAGAUUUCUGAAGAAGUAGAAGACAAGAUUUCUCAGAUUUCUAAUUUGCCAAUAAAAACCAUUUCUGUAUAACAAAUGAAGAAUUGUUUUCAGAAAAGUCAAGUAUUAAAGGAUGUGUUUAUUAAAUUCUUUUGCUGACAGAAGAAUGAAACUUUCUUAUAAGAAAUGAUAUAAGAAAAUAUGAAAGAAGAAAACAUUUUUGAUGCAAAUGAAGAAAAACACAAAAUGAAAUGAAGAUAUUUUUAAAAAAUGCUUCAUAUAAAUAGUUUUCAGAAAACUUAGAAAUCACGUUAAUUUAUGAUAGUAUUUCUCUGUGUUGCUAAUGUUUUGUGAACACUUUGGUAAGCACUUAUUGUAUAUAAUGCAGUAAAAUCAUUCGAGGAGGUUGUAACAUUUAAAGUUUAGUUAAAGGAUUGUUAUUAGAAAAAUGCAUAUAAUUUUCUAUCUGCCCACAAGUUUAACAUUAAUUUAAAAAUAGUUUGGUUAAAUUUAUAUAUUUAUAUAUUUGACUGAUGAUAAAUUAAAGAGAGUUUUGGUCUCUUUAAUUUAAAAGUAUCAAAAGCAAUAUCUAACAUAGGUUUUGAUAUUUUUAUUUCUCAUAUUUUACAGGUUUCACGAAUCAAAAGAAUGGAAAAUAUCGAUGCGAAAGUUGCAAGAAAGAAUUCAUUUCAAAAUAUUAUUUAAAACAUCAUCAGAAGUUUCACACCGGAGAAGGUCUCUUGUCUUGCGAAUUCUGUAAUCGUAAGUUCAACA